This 396-nucleotide long non-coding RNA is filed under the name Sus scrofa (pig). Its description in RNAcentral is "lncRNA (ENSSSCG00040064294.1)". Lineage: Eukaryota; Metazoa; Chordata; Mammalia; Artiodactyla; Suidae. The record is from RNAcentral.
CCUGAUUCUAACAACUUUAAGCAGGGCAAAGACAAACACAAAUACAUAUCCAAUCUGGAAGACUGCCUCUCCUCUCUGAAGACUAUAAGACUUCAGGGAUCAUGAGUUCCACAGCCUGAAGGGUAAGACCUGGAAUGAAGUCAUGGAAACACAGCAGAAAUUUCCUACUAAUCAAUUAGACUGAGAAAGUAGCAAGAGGCUGUGUGGGAACGCUUCACGACUCUAGAACACCUUCUAGAAUAUAUUCAGGAACCCAUCUUGUUCACUACUGUUUCCAGAGGACCUCAAACAGUGCCCAGUGCCUGGGAGGACUCAGUAAGUAAUGUUGAAUACAUGAAUUUCCUCAGUAAAAAUGUUGAAUACAGAAAAAGACACAACAAACCAUAUUCUUGAGAU